UACGUAGGGUGCGAGCGUUGUCCGGAAUCAUUGGGCGUAAAGCGCGUGUAGGCGGUCCGGUAAGUCCGCUGUGAAAGUCGGGGGCUCAACCCUCGGAUGCCGGUGGAUACUGUCGGGCUUGAGUACGGAAGAGGCGAGUGGAAUUCCUGGUGUAGCGGUGAAAUGCGCAGAUAUCAGGAGGAACACCGAUGGCGAAGGCAGGUCUCUGGGCAUUAACUGACGCUGAGGAGCGAAAGCAUGGGGAGCGAACAGG
This 253-nucleotide ribosomal RNA is filed under the name uncultured bacterium. Its description in RNAcentral is "partial 16S ribosomal RNA". It matches the Rfam family "Bacterial small subunit ribosomal RNA", at positions 524 to 776 of the family's 1533-position model. The record is from RNAcentral.